RNAcentral lists this ribosomal RNA (459 nucleotides) under uncultured bacterium. RNAcentral describes it as "partial 16S ribosomal RNA". It matches the Rfam family "Bacterial small subunit ribosomal RNA", at positions 338 to 795 of the family's 1533-position model. The record is from RNAcentral.
CCUACGGGUGGCUGCAGUGAGGAAUAUUGGUCAAUGGGCGCGAGCCUGAACCAGCCAAGUCGCGUGAGGGAAGACGGUCCUAUGGAUUGUAAACCUCUUUUGUCGGGGAGCAAAAGACGCCACGCGUGGCGUUCCGAGAGUACACGAAGAAAAAGCAUCGGCUAACUCCGUGCCAGCAGCCGCGGUAAUCCGGAGGAUGCGAGCGUUAUCCGGAUUUAUUGGGUUUACGGGGUGCGCAGGCGGAAGCUCAAGUCAGCGGUAAAAUUGAGAGGCUCAACCUCUUCGAGCCGUUGAAACUGGUUGUCUUGAGUGAGCGAGAAGUAUGCGGAAUGCGUGGUGUAGCGGUGAAAUGCAUAGAUAUCACGAAGAACUCCGAUUGCGAAGGCAGCAUACCGGCGCUCAACUGACGCUCAUGCACGAAAGUGUGGGUAUCGAACAGGAUUAGAUACCCCUGUAGUC